GACGAACGCUGGCGGCGUGCUUAACACAUGCAAGUCGAACGGUGAAGCGCCUUCCUGUUUGGUGGGUGUGGAUGAGUGGCGAACGGGUGAGUAACACGUGAGUAACCUGCCCCCUUCUUCUGGAUAACCGCAUGAAAGUGUGGCUAAUACGGGAUAUUCUGGGUCUGUCGCAUGAUGGGUCUGGGAAAGAUAUUGGUUCGGUGGGGGAUGGGCUCGCGGCCUAUCAGCUUGUUGGUGGGGUGAUGGCCUACCAAGGCGGUGACGGGUAGCCGGCCUGAGAGGGUGGACGGUCACACUGGGACUGAGACACGGCCCAGACUCCUACGGGAGGCAGCAGUGGGGAAUAUUGAACAAUGGGCGCAAGCCUGAUGCAGCGACGCCGCGUGAGGGAUGGAGGCCUUCGGGUUGUGAACCUCUUUCGCCAGUGAAGCAGGCCUGCCUCGUUUGUGGGUGGGUUGACGGUAGCUGGAGAAGAAGCGCCGGCUAACUACGUG
RNAcentral lists this ribosomal RNA (494 nucleotides) under uncultured bacterium. RNAcentral describes it as "partial 16S ribosomal RNA". It matches the Rfam family "Bacterial small subunit ribosomal RNA", at positions 28 to 507 of the family's 1533-position model. The record is from RNAcentral.